Mycena albidolilacea is the source of this 105-nucleotide non-coding RNA. The record is from the annotation of a GenBank genome assembly. Lineage: Eukaryota; Fungi; Basidiomycota; Agaricomycetes; Agaricales; Mycenaceae.
GGCGUUGUAGCUCAGUUGGGAGAGCAGCAGACUGAAGAGGCUGGUGAGAAGGCGGCUAGUCGCGGUAAUAUCUGAAGGUCCGGUGUUCAAGCCACCGCAAUGCCA